RNAcentral lists this ribosomal RNA (810 nucleotides) under Triticum aestivum (bread wheat). RNAcentral's name for it is "partial small subunit ribosomal RNA". Lineage: Eukaryota; Viridiplantae; Streptophyta; Magnoliopsida; Poales; Poaceae. The record is from RNAcentral.
AUGAAGACAAUAGUGGGGAUGCUCUUCCAGGAGGACCGAGAGGAGAAAAGGAGGAGGAUGCAGGCCCGCUUACAGGAACGCAAUCUUCACCCUGAAACGUCGCGGGUAGUCAAGAAGAUAAUCUGUGCUGAGGGUGGAGGGCGCACAAGAAGCCUGCAUGCAAAGCUCCUACAGAAUCUGCGUGCCCAUGGAGUGACAGCAAAUUCUACUCAUCACAUACCAGUAAUAGACGGAGCACUGCCAGAGGUGCUAAAUGCCAUAGUUGAUGAGGUGGCCAAGUUGGAGCGUUCAGCAUGUACCAGUGAAAACUUAUCUCGUAAUGAUGGCCCUUGGGUUGAAUCGGGAAAGGUGCUUGAGAGUUUUAUAGGCCUCACUUUCCAGAUUUGCAAAGGCCUGAAUGCAUGUGGUUUUGCCAAAACACUAGAGGGUACCAAUCUUACUCUGGACACAUUGGUCAUGAAGCUUAACAAAAUACUCGAAUUGUACAAGUAUACAACUACCGAUUUUCCUAGCAUAAGGCGAUCUACACUUGAACUCAUGACCUGGAUGGUACAAAAGAACAGCAACUACAGAGAAAUAUUCCUACAAUGUGGAGUGUAUGAGCAGCUGAAAGAAGUGGCAAACACUGCUGGAAGAGCUGAGAGAUUUGAGCUGUUCCACUGCGGUGUUGGGGUUGGUGGUAAGGACAUAUCAUGCAUCCCUUCUCUUGUGAGUGAAUUAAAGAAACAGCUUGAGCUCUGCCCCCAUUUCGAACAAAGAUCACACUACUACGGAGCACGUGCAGACACCAUAACUGUUUUGGUCGCCUAA